UACGAAGGGGGCGAGCGUUGUUCGGAUUUACUGGGCGUAAAGGGCGCGCAGGCGGCAGACCAAGUCAGGCGUGAAAGCCCCGGGCUUAACCUGGGAGGUGCGUCUGGGACUGGUAUGCUAGAGUUCGGGAGAGGAGAGUGGAAUUCCCAGUGUAGAGAUGAAAUUCGUAGAUAUUGGGAAGAACACCGGUGGCGAAGGCGGCUCUCUGGACCGAGACUGACGCUGAGGCACGAAAGCGUGGGGAGCAAACAGG
Molecule: ribosomal RNA, 253 nt
Filed under: uncultured bacterium
Lineage: Bacteria
Description: partial 16S ribosomal RNA
Rfam family: Bacterial small subunit ribosomal RNA
Source: RNAcentral